GUAUGCACUUAAGGAAAGAUUAAAAGGAGUAAAAGGAACUCGGCAAACACAAACCCCGCCUGUUUACCAAAAACAUCACCUCCAGCAUUUCUAGUAUUGGAGGCACUGCCUGCCCGGUGACACUUGUUUAACGGCCGCGGUAUCCUGACCGUGCAAAGGUAGCAUAAUCAUUUGUUCUCUAAAUAGGGACUUGUAUGAAUGGCCACACGAGGGUUUAACUGUCUCUUACUCCCAAUCAGUGAAAUUGACCUUCCCGUGAAGAGGCGGGAAUACCAUAAUAAGACGAGAAGACCCUAUGGAGCUUUAAUUAACUAACCCAAACUUAUGGAUACUAAAUACCUAUAAGGCAUAACAUAACACCAUCAUUAUGGGUUAGCAAUUUAGGUUGGGGUGACCUCGGAAUAUAAAAAAACUCCCGAGUGAUUAAAAUCUAGACCCACAAGUCAAAAUGUAACAUCACUUAUUGAUCCAAUAACUUUUGAUCAACGGAACAAGUUACCCUAGGGAUAACAGCGCAAUCCUAUUCAAGAGUCCAUAUCGACAAUAGGGUUUACGACCUCGAUGUUGGAUCAGGACAUCCUAAUGGUGCAGCAGCUAUUAAGGGUUCGUUUGUUCAACGAUUAAAGUCCUACGUGAUCUGAGUUCAGACCGGAGUAAUCCAGGUCGGUUUCUAUCUAUUAUAUAACCUCCCCCAGUACGAAAGGACAAGGGAUGUAAGGCCUACCUCACAAAGGCGCCUUAAAACUAAUAGAUGAAGUCAACUCAAUCUAACCAGUUUAUCUCCUCAUAUGCCCAAGAAAGAGGGCUUU
RNAcentral lists this ribosomal RNA (809 nucleotides) under Canis lupus laniger (Tibetan wolf). Its description in RNAcentral is "partial 16S ribosomal RNA". It matches the Rfam family "Bacterial large subunit ribosomal RNA", at positions 1674 to 2838 of the family's 2925-position model. The record is from RNAcentral. Lineage: Eukaryota; Metazoa; Chordata; Mammalia; Carnivora; Canidae.